CCUACGGGAGGCAGCAGUGGGGAAUCUUAGACAAUGGGCGCAAGCCUGAUCUAGCCAUGCCGCGUGAGCGAUGAAGGCCUUAGGGUUGUAAAGCUCUUUCAGUGGGGAAGAUAAUGACUGUACCCACAGAAGAAGCCCCGGCUAACUCCGUGCCAGCAGCCGCGGUAAUACGGAGGGGGCUAGCGUUGUUCGGAAUUACUGGGCGUAAAGCGCACGUAGGCGGACUGGAAAGUCAGAGGUGAAAUCCCAGGGCUCAACCUUGGAACUGCCCUUUGAAACUCCCGGUCUUGAGGUCGAGAGAGGUGAGUGGAAUUCCGAGUGUAGAGGUGGAAAUUCGUAGAUAUUCGGAGGAACACCAGUGGCGAAGGCGGCUCACUGGCUCGAUACUGACGCUGACGGUGCGAAAGCGUGGGGAGCAAACAGGAUUAGAUACCCUGGUAGUCCACGCCGUAAACGAUGAUCGCAGACGUCGGCAAGCANGCUGUCGGUGUCACACCUACGAUAGACAUCGCCGNGGAGUACGCGCGAGUAACGUACGAAGUAAGUAGUACGCGUUGAGACGUUAGCGACGGCGACGACGAGGGAGAGG
RNAcentral lists this ribosomal RNA (589 nucleotides) under uncultured bacterium. Its description in RNAcentral is "bacterial SSU rRNA". The stretch from base 1 to 513 matches the Rfam family "Bacterial small subunit ribosomal RNA", at positions 338 to 873 of the family's 1533-position model. The record is from RNAcentral.